This 492-nucleotide ribosomal RNA is filed under the name uncultured bacterium. Its description in RNAcentral is "partial 16S ribosomal RNA". It matches the Rfam family "Bacterial small subunit ribosomal RNA", at positions 29 to 507 of the family's 1533-position model. The record is from RNAcentral.
AGUGAACGCUGGCGGUAGGCCUAACACAUGCAAGUCGAACGGCAGCACAGUAAGAGCUUGCUCUUACGGGUGGCGAGUGGCGGACGGGUGAGGAAUACAUCGCAAUCUACUUUUUCGUGGGGGAUAACGUAGGGAAACUUACGCUAAUACCGCAUACGACCUACGGGUGAAAGCAGGGGAUCUUCGGACCUUGCGCGAUUGAAUGAGCCGAUGUCGGAUUAGCUAGUUGGCGGGGUAAAGGCACACCAAGGCGACGAUCCGUAGCUGGUCUGAGAGGAUGAUCAGCCACACUGGAACUGAGACACGGUCCAGACUCCUACGGGAGGCAGCAGUGGGGAAUAUUGGACAAUGGGCGAAAGCCUGAUCCAGCAAUACCGCGUGGGUGAAGAAGGCCUUCGGGUUGUAAAGCCCUUUUGUUGGGAAAGAAAAGCAGCAGGUUAAUACCCCGAUGUUCUGACGGUACCCAAAGAAUAAGCACCGGCUAACUUCGUG